Molecule: long non-coding RNA, 277 nt
Filed under: Mytilus galloprovincialis (Mediterranean mussel)
Lineage: Eukaryota; Metazoa; Mollusca; Bivalvia; Mytilida; Mytilidae
Source: RNAcentral
UAUCUGUUGGUUUUCAAUUCUAGUGUUUAUAUUUAUUUACCAUGCAUAGAUGUAUUUUGUCACCUGUCUGGAUUUUUUCAGUUGAUAGCCAAAACCCGGGAUUACCCUUAUCCGCUUCCGGAAUCGGAUCCGAUAUUGUAAUUGUCUUCUCGCGGCAGCCAUUUUUUUUCAAUGUUGUUUUUGACAGACAGUGAGAUACGAUUUUACUCGGAUUUACACAUUAUUUGUCGGCGAUUUUCUGUAUAAAGCUAGCGGUUGAACAAAUUGAACAUCGCUG